AACUAACGCUGGCGGCGUGCCUAACACAUGCAAGUCGUACGAGAAAGUUGGCUUCGGCCGAUGAGUAAAGUGGCGCACGGGUGAGUAAUGCGUGGAUAAUCUGCCCUUUAGUUGGGAAUAACGUACCGAAAGGUGCGCUAAUACCUGAUAAUACUGCAUAACUACUGUUGUGUAGUCAAAGAAGGCCUCUGUUUACAAGCUUUUGCUGAAGGAUGAGUCCGCGUACCAUUAGCUGGUUGGUGGGGUAAUGGGCCUACCAAGGCUACGAUGGUUAGCUGGUCUGAGAGGAUGAUCAGCCACACUGGAACUGAGACACGGUCCAGACUCCUACGGGAGGCAGCAGUGAGGAAUAUUGCGCAAUGGGGGCAACCCUGACGCAGCAACGCCGCGUGAGUGAGGAAGGUUUUCGGACCGUAAAGCUCUGUCGAGCGGGAAGAAAUGGUAUCAUGGCUAAUAUCCAUGAUACUUGACGGUACCGCUAAAGG
Molecule: ribosomal RNA, 485 nt
Filed under: uncultured bacterium
Lineage: Bacteria
Description: bacterial SSU rRNA
Rfam family: Bacterial small subunit ribosomal RNA
Source: RNAcentral